This 755-nucleotide long non-coding RNA is filed under the name Mytilus galloprovincialis (Mediterranean mussel). Lineage: Eukaryota; Metazoa; Mollusca; Bivalvia; Mytilida; Mytilidae. The record is from RNAcentral.
CCCUCAUAUAUGUUAUAAUUGACUGAACUUAGAUAUUUAUGGUGAUAAUGACUUCACAUUCCAUUUUAAAUAUAUUAUUUAUACUUAAGGCACAUGUUGAAGUGAAGAUACCUUUGUAAGGGGAGAUAUUUUUUUGUUAAUUGAGGUUGAUAAACUUUGGUAAGGGGAGAUCAUUUUUCAAAUCAUAAAUGACGGGGAUAGACUUUGGUAAGAGCCUAAGGGGAGAUAUUUUUGUUAAUUAAGGUUGAUAAACUUUGGUAAGGGGAGAUAAUUUUUCCAAAUCAAUAAAUGACGGGAUAGACUUUGGUAAGAGCCUAAGGGGAGAUAUUUUUUGUUAAUUAAGGUUGAUAGACUUUGGUAAGGGGAGAUAAUUUUUCAAAUAAUAAAUGACGGGGAUAGACUUUGGUAAGAGCCUAAGGGGAGAUAGUUUUGUUAAUGAAGGAUGAUAAACUUUGGUAAGGGGAGAUAAUUUUUCAAAUCAUAAAUGACGGAGAUAAUUUUUCAAAUCAUAAAUGACGGGGAUAGACUUUAGUAAGAGCCUAAGGGGAGAUAUUUUUGUUAAUGAAGGUGGACAGACUUUGGUAAGAGGUGAUAAUUUUUUAAUGAAGGAGAAUAAACUUGGGUAAGGCGAGAUGAUUGAGGGGGAGAUAAUUCUUUUAAUUACAACUGGUGUUUUUUUUUAAAGUUGUGUCCCCUUUAAUGAAAAAAAACCCAGAUUUGAUAGUUACAUUAAUGGAAAAAAAUGAGACUUACAC